CAACAAAUGGCUGAAAUUUGAAGCAGUGCAUUUAUUAUAAUUAUCAUCAUUCUUAAUAUUAUAGCAUUUUAAUUUCACACUGUCCCUGACUACCAAACUUACUUCCUGCUUUUAUAGCCUAUGAAUAAAUUUAAAAUUUUUUAUGUAGUUAUGGCACAUUAUUCUUCACUAUGAAAUAUCAAGGUUAUUCAAUAAAGUGAG
Non-coding RNA from Pelobates cultripes (western spadefoot toad), 201 nucleotides. Lineage: Eukaryota; Metazoa; Chordata; Amphibia; Anura; Pelobatidae. The record is from the annotation of a GenBank genome assembly.